GCUGUGCAUGUCAAUGCCUCCACGCGGCGCACGGCGGGCAACAAUUUUAUAAUUGGCUAAAUUGACC
Molecule: ribozyme, 67 nt
Filed under: unclassified sequences
Description: HDV ribozyme from F. prausnitzii
Rfam family: HDV ribozyme from F. prausnitzii (bases 1-60)
Source: RNAcentral